Molecule: long non-coding RNA, 831 nt
Organism: Sapajus apella (tufted capuchin)
Lineage: Eukaryota; Metazoa; Chordata; Mammalia; Primates; Cebidae
Exons: 3
Source: RefSeq, a predicted model, not a curated record
AGUGAGACUCCAUCUCAAAAAAAGAAAAAAAGAAGAAGAAGAAAAGAAAUAACAGAAGAAAAUGGAAUUGGCAUUGAAAUCUAGGAAAAUUAUUCUAUUAUUUUAAAAGCAUUUUUUAACCUCCUAAGUAUCAAGUGUAGAAAAUCUUCAUGGAAUUCACAAAGUAAUUUGGAAAUUAGGUUCAAACAUAUUUUUCUUUCUUGUGAAAAAAUGGUAGUAUUUUAAACAAAAUAGAAGGUUGCAAGGCAAAUGUUUACCUAUUUAAAAAGAGCAAAUUUGCUGGGUGCAGUGGCUCACGCCUGUAAUCCCAGCACUUUGGGAGGCCAAGGCAGGUGGAUCAUGAGGUCAGGAGAUCGAGACCAUUCUGGCCAUGGUGAAACCCUGUCUCUACUAAAAUACAAAAAAUUAGCCGGGCAUGGUGGCGCAUGCUUGUAGUCCCAGCUACUCAGGAGGCUGAAGCAGGGGAAUCACUUGAAUCCAGGAGACGGAGGUUGCAGUGAGCCAAGAUCAUGCCACUGCACUCCAGGCUGGUGACACAGCAAGACUCUGUCUCAAAAAAAAAAAAAACUAUUUCCAAAUACCAUAGAAUAACUUACAUGAAAUAUAACUGUAUUGUAAGUAGAAGCUAGCACUGGUUUUAUUAAUUUAGUGAUUCCAUUCAUUUUAUCUAAAUCAGUGGAGGUUUACUGUCAUUGUUUAUUAGUCUGUAUAUAUUAAAAUAUGCUGUCAUUACUGUACUUGUAAAAUAGUAUGUCACUGUUUUUGUGUUCACUCUUAAAAAUGUAACCUAUAGGCCGGGCGCGGUGGCUCAAGCCUGUAAUCCCAGCACUU